Molecule: ribosomal RNA, 515 nt
Filed under: uncultured bacterium
Lineage: Bacteria
Description: partial 16S ribosomal RNA
Rfam family: Bacterial small subunit ribosomal RNA
Source: RNAcentral
GGUGAACGCUGGCGGCGUGCCUAAUACAUGCAAGUCGAGCGAAUGGAUUAAGAGCUUGCUCUUAUGAAGUUAGCGGCGGACGGGUGAGUAACACGUGGGUAACCUGCCCAUAAGACUAGGAUAACUCCGGGAAACCGGGGCUAAUACCGGAUAACAUUUUGAACCGCAUGGUUCGAAAUUGAAAGGCGGCUUCGGCUGUCACUUAUGGAUGGACCCGCGUCGCAUUAGCUAGUUGGUGAGGUAACGGCUCACCAAGGCGACGAUGCGUAGCCGACCUGAGAGGGUGAUCGGCCACACUGGGACUGAGACACGGCCCAGACUCCUACGGGAGGCAGCAGUAGGGAAUCUUCCGCAAUGGACGAAAGUCUGACGGAGCAACGCCGCGUGAGUGAUGAAGGCUUUCGGGUCGUAAAACUCUGUUGUUAGGGAAGAACAAGUGCUAGUUGAAUAAGCUGGCACCUUGACGGUACCUAACCAGAAAGCCACGGCUAACUACGUGCCAGCCGCCGCGGUAA